Long non-coding RNA from Homo sapiens (human), 2793 nucleotides. Lineage: Eukaryota; Metazoa; Chordata; Mammalia; Primates; Hominidae. The record is from Ensembl.
AUUGUUUGGAAUGCUGGGUUGAGUCCCGGCUGGACCGCGCCCCUCUCGGAAGUGUAGCCAGGAGUAGGGGUGUAGGAUGUGCAGCUGUGACCCGUCCCUGUGGACUGAAUUCUGCUUUUCCAGAAUCCUGCCCUUUCCAAAAGGAAGACGGUAUGAUUAAGUUCCAGGAAAGGGUGACAUUCAAGGACAUAGCUGUUAUCUUCACCAAGGAAGAGCUGGCAGUAUUGGAUAAAGCCCAGAUAAACCUGUACCAAGACGUGAUGCUGGAAAACUUCAGGAACUUCAUCUCAGUGGGGUCUUGCUCUGUCACCCAGGUGGCUGGAGUACAGUGGCCUGAUCAUGGCUCGCUGCUGAAGCCUUGAACUGCUGGGCUCAAGUGAUCCUCCUGCCUCAGCCUCCUGAGUAGUUGGGACUACAGGCAUAUACCACCACUUUCAGCUAAUGUUUUCUUUUAAAAAUUUACUUGUAGAGAUGGGGUCUUGCUUUGUUGCCCAGGUUAGUCUUAUUCUGGUUUCAAGCAAUCCUCCUACCUCAGCUUCCCAAAGUGCAGGGAUUACAAGUGUGGGCCACUGCACUCAGCCCACAAUGUCUUUUAUUUUUUCUUCAAAAACAAUGUCCUUUUCUGUUUUAAUUGACUUAUAAGUUUCUUCAUUUGGAUCAUGGUUUAUUCCUAGUUUUUCUUGCAUUAUAUUUUCCUGCCAGUUAUAGUUUGUAAACAGAACAGCCAUUCAAGUGCAAAUAAAACCAUCCCUGAAGUGUCAUUUUCUUACUGAGCAGGUGGAUAAGAGUGAAAUAUUUUAAAAAUUCUGUGUCAGUAGAAAUGAGGAAAUGAGUGUUCUUACAUAAGUUGGUGGGGAAAAAAAACAGGUACAAAGUUGCUGGAGAGGAUCUUGUCUAUAUGUAUCAGAUGUACAAUGUGCAUUGUCUUUGAGCCAAUGAUCCUGCUUCUCAGAAUGUAUUUUUAGGAUGUAAUUACAUGAGUGGAAAAAAAUGGUUUCAGAAAGAAAUAUGUUCUAAGAAUUUUGCAAUGAGAAGAUCGUAAAUGACCUGAAGCUUCAUGUAUAAGAGAUUAAGUAAAUUAGGGCAUCCCAUAUAAUGGAAUAACAUGGCUCCAUCAACAAUGAUCUAGACCUAUAAAAAUGUCCACAUAUUAUUGUCCAUGUCCACCACAUACUCCAGUCCUCCUACUUGCAAACAGUAGGUUAGAGAAAAAAUCUGGGAUACACAUUAUCCCAGGAAGCUUUUGGGGUUUAGAAUGGGUGCAACAUUCCCUCAUGACAGAAUCGGCCCUCAGCCUUAGUGGAGGUGUCCCAGGCAAUCCUCCAGUAUGGCCAGGAGCAGCCCUUGCAUAUCACAUUAAGCUUUUUAAAUAUAUGAUGCUAACAGGAUUGUCUCCCUACUUCAUAAAAUUGUUUGCUUUUCCUCUUGUAACAAAGUAGCAUGGAAAAAGCAGAAAUUAGUCUAGCUCCCAAUCAGUGGGAGCCAACUCAUUUACAAAUAUAGAUGCAGAGAUCCUAAAUAAAUAUGAGCAUGUCAAAUCCAAUGAUUUGAUAAAAGCGUAACAGACUCUGCUCAUAUAUAAUUUAUCCUAAAUAUGCUUAUCAGCUUCUGCCUCAUAACACACACAAGAACUGAGUAGCUCUAAAUACAAAUUUAUUUAGCUCAUGAUGUGUGAGCUGGCAAGUUCAGUUGGGCUUAGCUGGGCAGUUCUGGUGUGGGACAUGCUAGAUUAUCUUAACUGGGCUUUGUACAUGCAUCUGCAUUCAGCUGAUGGCUCAUCUGGGCCUGGCUGUUUUAUGAUGGUCAUAGAUGAGACAACGAAGUUCUCUCUGUCACCAUGGUCUCUCAUCGUCCAGAAGACCAAUCUAGGGUUGGUCCCAUAGUGCCAGGGUUUCAAGAGCAAAAGCUGUGAUCUCUUAAGGCCUUGUCAGAGAACAGGCUCAAUGAUACUUCCACCACAUUCUAAUGAUUAAAGCAAGUCACAACACUGGCCCAGAUUCAUGCGGUGGGAUUAAGACAAGAUAAAAAAUUUUGAGAUGUAAUCAUUGGAAGGAAAAAGAAGGUACUAUUUUUAUGUUAGAGAAUAAUGUUAUUUACUUAUAAAAUUCAAAUCCGCCUGUAAAAUUUGACCAAUUGAAGUCUGUUUUAAAAUUAUCACGUCAAAAAAUUGGUUUCAUACAAAAUUGGCACAUGAAAACUCAUAGCAUUACUAUGUACGAGUCUUUUAUAAAAUGUAGCCAAAGUGUUUCAUUCACAAUAACAAUUGUGUGCAAAGACCAGAAUUGUCCAAAGGUAAUUCUGGGAGUUCCCUUUGGGAUGCCUAGGUGGGGAGCUAUCUGGAGCCUCAGACUCCCACAUUCUUCAGUGGGAAAAGCUUUACAUGAGCUCAACUUCCCAGCGGCUUUCUCUUUCUGAUGGGAGGUGUUAGAACCUGGCUUUCUCAUGCAACUUCUGUGAAGCUCUGACAACUAAAGCCAGAUUGUCUGCUUUAGUCAAUCUGUUAGAUCAAUUAGUCAUUUGAUCUGACAACUAAAGCCAGAUUGUCUGCUUUAGUUAAGUAGUCCAGAUUACCUGCAUAGUCAAUUUGUUCCCUCACCAACAUGGAUGCCUUCACAAUUGCUCUUUAAGAAGGAUAAAAAGAUAGGGGUGAGGUGUGGUCUAUCUCCUGCUUCACCCAGGCCCUGGUGCUUCUUCAAGUAGCGUGAGAAAUUGUGGUCCUGUGCGUUCUCUUCCAGACCCUUAGCUUAUAUGUUUUCCCUAUAAAACUUAGUCCUAAUCCCAGCACUUUGGGAG